Molecule: ribosomal RNA, 253 nt
Filed under: uncultured bacterium
Lineage: Bacteria
Also listed under: 1 other name
Description: partial 16S ribosomal RNA
Rfam family: Bacterial small subunit ribosomal RNA
Source: RNAcentral
UACGUAGGGGGCAAGCGUUGUCCGGAAUCAUUGGGCGUAAAGAGCGUGUAGGCGGUCCGAUAAGUCGGUUGUGAAAGUCAAGGGCUCAACCCUUGAAUGCCGACCGAUACUGUCGGGCUAGAGUCCGGAAGAGGCGAGUGGAAUUCCUGGUGUAGCGGUGAAAUGCGCAGAUAUCAGGAGGAACACCAAUGGCGAAGGCAGCUCGCUGGGACGGUACUGACGCUGAGACGCGAAAGCGUGGGGAGCAAACAGG